GUAGGUGGCAAGCGUUGUCCGGAAUUAUUGGGCGUAAAGCGCGCGCAGGUGGUUCUUUAAGUCUGAUGUGAAAGCCCCCGGGCUCAACCGGGGAGGGUCAUUGGAAACUGGGGAACUUGAGUGCAGGAGAGGAAAGUGGAAUUCCACGCGUAGCGGUGAAAUGCGUAGAUAUGUGGAGGAACACCAGUGGCGAAGGCGACUUUCUGGCCUGUAACUGACACUGAGGCGCGAAAGCGUGGGGAGCAAACAGGAUUAGAUACCCUGGUAGUCCACGCCGUAAACGAUGAGUGCUAAGUGUUGGGGGGUUUCCGCCCCUCAGUGCUGCAGCUAACGCAUUAAGCACUCCGCCUGGGGAGUACGGUCGCAAAGACUG
Molecule: ribosomal RNA, 373 nt
Filed under: uncultured organism
Description: partial 16S ribosomal RNA
Rfam family: Bacterial small subunit ribosomal RNA
Source: RNAcentral